Molecule: long non-coding RNA, 1298 nt
Organism: Cyprinus carpio (common carp)
Lineage: Eukaryota; Metazoa; Chordata; Actinopteri; Cypriniformes; Cyprinidae
Source: Ensembl
CGGGGCUGAAGUGGGCAGGCGAAUAGGAGGGCAAAGCUGAAUCUGCUCAAUGCUGGCAGGGGUUCGUGUGAGAAGGGCUGUCUGCUCGCACACCUCUCUCUCUGCUUUUCCCGUUGGCUUGCGAGCGACGUGGAAAUGGUCUCUCCUCAUCUUUCUUCCUCCCUGCUGUUUUUUAUCCGGUCGUCGUACAGUACAGUCGUACUUUUUACCCUAUUUGGAGUCUCCUGCGAUGUCCCACGAAAAGCUCUCACUCAGGAACAAAGUCACAGACCCUUUAUCGGGAAAAAUAUUUUGGUAAUCACCUGCAAUUCUGAAGCAAUAACACCACAAACAACAUCACAUUAUGAAGAAAAAGAGCCUUGUGGAUAACAGCCGAACCCUGGGACAUUCAGCUGCCUGACACUCACCAGAGCAGGUAUUUGUCGCUAAAGUGAUUUGAGGUCUCAUUUUGUAGCAGUUCAGAUCACAUUUUUCUCACAGGUAUCGAAAAGAAAGAGUUAACAGAUCAAGUUAUGAGCUUUCGAAAGCACAUGGCUUCUCACUUGCACAUGCUGCAUGCAAAAAUGUUAAUUCAAAGCUGUAUUUUAAAUGUCAAAAUAAUUUAAUCUAUCUUUGCUCAAUGUGACAACUCUAAGUAAGCUAUUGAGAUGUUGAUUUCCCUGCAAAAUAACUAGGGAUUUGUUUUGUGCUGUCAAAACAUUUACUUGAGAAUACUGACCUUCUCGACCAAUGGAGUGAGUUUGUGGGCGGGACUAUCUGUUUUUAUGAGCAAAUAGAACACGCAGGCAGUGUUCGAGGAAACCUAUUUGGAAGCAAUAAUUAUUUUUGCAACUCCAGUGCAGAAAUUACUUACAUUAUUAGUGUUAGUUUCAGUGUUUUAUUACAGGCCUAAUUAACAAGUGUCAACAAAUGCAAUGUUAAAUUAAAAAAAGUUUUUUUGUGUUUUAGCUUCACUGAAAAAAAAAAUCGUGUAGAAAUGGUUUUCACUAACAGUUUCAAACAUUGAAUUAAAUACAAAAUAAGAGUGAAACAAUAUUUUCUUGUAUUACGUACUCCUACAAUAUUUUUUUAAUUCAACAAGCGCUAUUUUUGCAAUCUGUUUGCAAUACAGCUAUCGCAUUGAUAAGUGCUGAACAUACACUGAACGCAUACGCAAACAAGGUCAACAGGCACUUCCUGUUUAGAAAUACUAUUUUUGCAUCCAGGACGUAGAGCUGAAGUUCUGCAGAUUGUUAGGGGUCGCGCUGCAAAUGAUAAGCAUGUUAAAAAGGCCUCUGGACUUGCACCACCAUGGGUUU